Haemorhous mexicanus (house finch) is the source of this 6935-nucleotide RNA transcript. It is a transcript of the gene named dynamin 3, with no coding region annotated. The transcript is spliced from 21 exons. The record is from RefSeq and is a predicted model, not a curated record. NCBI's taxonomy places the organism in Eukaryota, Metazoa, Chordata, Aves, Passeriformes, Fringillidae.
GCGGCGGCGGGAUGGAGGGGCUCAUCCCGCUCGUUAACCGGCUGCAGGAUGCCUUCGCGGCGCUGGGCCAGAACUGCCUGCUCGACCUGCCGCAGAUCGCGGUGGUUGGCGGGCAGAGCGCCGGCAAGAGCUCUGUGCUGGAGAACUGCGUCUCCAGGGAUUUUCUUCCACGAGGUUCUGGAAUUGUGACAAGACGACCAUUGGUCCUGCAGCUCAUCACUGCUAAAACAGAGUAUGCUGAAUUUCUACACUGCAAAGGGAAGAAAUUUACUGAUUUUGAUGAAGUUCGUCAGGAAAUUGAAGUAGAAACAGACAGAGUAACAGGAAUGAACAAAGGCAUUUCUUCAGUUCCUAUUAAUUUAAGAAUAUAUUCUCCACAUGUCUUAAGCCUGACCCUUAUUGAUUUGCCGGGAAUCACUAAAGUGCCAGUGGGGGAUCAGCCUCCAGAUAUUGAGCAGCAGAUCAGAGACAUGAUAAUGCAGUUCAUCUCCAGAGAGAACUGCCUGAUCCUGGCUGUGACUCCAGCUAACACUGACCUGGCCAACUCAGAUGCCCUGAAGCUGGCAAAGGAAGUGGACCCUCAGGGCCUUAGAACCAUCGGUGUAAUCACAAAAUUGGAUCUGAUGGAUGAAGGAACAGAUGCAAGAGAAGUUCUAGAAAACAAACUCCUCCCUCUUCGUAGAGGUUAUAUUGGUGUUGUAAACAGAAGCCAGAAAGACAUUGAUGGGAAGAAGGACAUAAAAGCAGCUCUUCUAGCAGAAAGGAAAUUCUUUCUUUCCCACCCAUCCUACAGGCACAUGGCAGAUCGGAUGGGAACACCAUAUCUCCAGAAAGUUCUAAACCAGCAACUUACCAAUCAUAUCCGGGAUACCCUGCCAGCUUUCAGAAGCAAACUCCAGAGCCAGCUGCUUUCUAUAGAACAUGAAGUAGAGGUAUAUAAAAACUUCAGACCAGAAGAUCCCACCAGAAAAACAAAAGCCCUGUUGCAGAUGGUACAGCAGUUUUCAGUCGACUUUGAAAAAAGAAUUGAAGGAUCAGGAGAUCAAGUUGAUACACUGGAACUUUCAGGAGGUGCCAAAAUCAAUCGUAUUUUCCAUGAACGUUUUCCCUUUGAACUUGUGAAGAUGGAAUUCAACGAGAAGGAGCUGAGGAGAGAGAUAAGUUAUGCCAUCAAGAACAUUCAUGGGAUCAGAACAGGUUUGUUCACUCCAGAUAUGGCGUUUGAAGCCAUUGUUAAAAAACAGAUCGUUAAGCUGAAGGGACCUUGUUUAAAAAGUGUGGAUCUGGUGAUGCAAGAGUUAAUCAACACUGUCAAGAAGUGCACUAAAAAGUUGGCAACAUAUCCAAGGUUGUGUGAGGAAACAGAAAGAAUUGUUGCUGGCUACAUUCGUGAAAGAGAAGAGAAAACCAAGGAUCAGAUGCUGCUGCUCAUUGAUAUCCAGGUUUCUUAUAUCAACACCAACCAUGAAGACUUCAUUGGCUUUGCAAAUGCCCAACAAAGAAGCAGUCAGGUUAACAAAAGUGCAGUGGGAAAUCAGGUCAUCCGGAAAGGCUGGCUCACCAUCAACAACAUUGGCAUCAUGAAAGGAGGAUCCAAGGAAUACUGGUUUGUCCUGACUGCAGAGAGCUUGUCCUGGUAUAAAGAUGAUGAGGAAAAAGAGAAGAAGUACAUGCUGCCUUUGGACAACUUGAAAGUGCGAGAUGUGGAAAAGAGCUUCAUGUCCAGCAAACACAUCUUUGCACUGUUUAACACAGAGCAGAGGAAUGUUUACAAGGAUUACCGUUUCCUUGAGCUAGCCUGUGACUCCCAAGAGGAGGUGGAUAGCUGGAAGGCAUCUCUGCUACGAGCCGGUGUCUAUCCUGAUAAAUCCUCAACUGAAACUGAAGAGAAUGGCCAAGCAGAUAAUUUUUCAAUGGACCCCCAGCUGGAAAGACAGGUGGAGACAAUUCGAAAUCUUGUGGACUCCUACAUGUCCAUUAUUAACAAAUGUAUCCGAGAUCUGAUCCCGAAAACAAUCAUGCACCUCAUGAUCAAUAAUGUAAAAGAAUUUAUCAAUGCAGAGCUGCUGGCUCACCUGUAUUCUUCUGAGGACCAGAACACUCUGAUGGAGGAGUCGGCGGAGCAGGCGCAGCGGCGGGACGAGACCCUGCGCAUGUACCAGGCGCUGCAGGAGGCGCUGGCCAUCAUCGGGGACAUCAGCACCAGCACCGUGUCCACCCCUGCUCCCCCACCUGUGGAUGACUCCUGGCUUCAGCAGACACGCAGAUCACCUCCUCCAAGUCCUUCAACUCUGAGGAGACCUACCUUGAACAAUCCCCCCACCAGACCUUUAUCUGGCCGAGGACCUGCUCCUGCCAUCCCCUCUCCAGGCCCCCAGUCGGGGGCUCCCCCAGUCCCGUUCCGGCCGGGAGCUCUGCCUCCAUUUCCCAGUGCUGAAGCCCAUGGAGGACCCCCCCAGGUUCCCUCUCGGCCCAGCCGGGCUCCUCCCAGCGUGCCAAGGCAUCUUGAAAGGCUGUCUUGAAACUCUCCUGUCCCCCGCGAGCUGUGUUGGAUCAGUAGAUGAGGGCACUCCGUGGCUCCCCUAACAACAGUGGUAAUCCCAUUAGUUGGCAUCAUGGACAAGAAGAGGUGCAACUCCAGCUGGAGGUGACAGCCAGGACAUUUGCUCCCCUUCUUGCACCAAGUCGAAGACCGCCCCCUUCACCUACUCGGCCCACUGUAAUCCGUCCGUUAGACUCCUCCCUGUUAGACUAAAAGGAGUUUCUGGCAUGUCACUCGUUGUUAACCAAAUCUGUGGAAACAAAUUGCUUGGUAACUGUCACAAUAACCAGUGUAUAGUCGCAUGUAUGGACAUCUCUAGGCAAGUAACCAAUUUUACUGAUAUUCUCUGUCCAUUCCGCAUUGUUUAUGAGGUCUUCAAUGUUUGGGGAAGGUCUGUGCUGCCUUGACUUUUCCUUCUGCAAUAACUGAUGUUAGCUAACUUACUGACACAUAUCUCCACCCAGACAACUGUGCUCACAGUCCUCUAUAGCAAAUGGAGGGCUUGACUCUGUGUGUCUUUGUGCAUGUGUUGAUUUGAUCUGCUGCUUUUUUUCCCCCUCUUACCUGAAAGGAAUCUUGCUUUUAUUUGUACCUUCUAGGUUUUCUAUUUUCUCUUGUAAUGGCUAAACUGGGCAAAGAAAAGCCAUGUGGUUUCUUACCAAGCUCUUCUGAAGGCCCCACACUUCCAGAUCUCUCUUGCAAGAGGCUUGCUUCUCCUAUAAAUUGUCCUUAUCCAAAAUUUAGUUCUAAGAAAUGUUGUUUAACGAGCAGGGUGUGUGUGGGACAAGGCAUGUUUUGCUGUAUUCCCAUCCUGGCAGCUGCCAUGCCAGGUUGGUUGGGUUGGUGAGGAGCAGGCUGGGGACAGGGUGGUUUGGAGGGCUGGGGUGUGACACAGCAGCGUGUGCCAGCUCCCUCUGUCCCUGCUCACACUCCUGCUCCCACUGCGCUCCUGGGAAGCGUGGGAGGGGAGUGAGUGCAUGGAAAUGGGCUGUGUGCAGGAUCCAGGGAACUGAGCACUGCUUUUGGUCCCUUUGUGACCCAGAAGGACACAGAGAGACAGAUACAUGCACAGCUGGGCUGGGUCCCCCUCCUGUGCCCACUGUGAGAGCUCCAGCCUGGACUGGCAGCUGAGCCUCCCAAGGGCCAGGUUUGGAUGUGAGAUAUUUGUGAUAUUUUCACAUGCCAGUCAGUAAAGUUUUCCUGUGUCCCCUGUGUAAAGAUUUUCUUUUUGCAUCACACGGUCCUUGCACACACCUUGGUUUACAGCUAAGUUCUGGGAAGUGCUCAGCUGUGCAUCCUGGAUUAUUUUAGCAGCUGCUCACUGGCAGAGGUGCUCUCUGCCUCUUGUUUUGCACGUUAUAAAUUAAUGCAUUAUAAAAACCUUUUGUCUUAACUGCAUUACUUCACUUUAAACACUUAGGGUCAGUGUCACCCUUAAAGCUUAGAACUUAUUAACAGAAUGAAACUAGAGAGGAAUUUGGCCUUGUUCCUUCAGAAAAUAUGAAUUGCUGCUAUUAAAAUUAUGGUUACAGAUCCCUUGGCAAAGCAAUUGGUGAUUUCAAAGGCCCCCAGUACAAUCAGUCUAAUAAAUGUAUUUAUUGAGACUGCUUGUAGGGCUCCAGUAUGCUGUAGCCCCAUCAUUAGGAAGAAUCCAAUCAAAGAGUCACAACAAAUGGGGAUUUAGCCUGUUAAUUCCCAGGCUGCUGAUUAGCUGUGCUCACCAGUGCAGCAAAUCAUGUUUCAGCCUGCAGAAGAGAGACAAGCUUGGGAAAGCAUCCUGAUUUGUGUGCUAGCUUAACUUUCAUUUCCUGUCCACCCCAUACUUGUGCCACAUGCCUGGGGAGUCUGGAGGUCACAUGUGAGGUUGCCAAGUGCACAGAAUCAGCUUUCAAGGAAAAGGUUGAAAACACAACCACAGUCAUACUAAUUUUUAGUACAAAAAAGAAAACAUAUUUUGAUGAUUCUUCUUGUCUUCUACACAGCUUUCCACUGCUUAGUGCUCUCUGCUGUAACCUGUGCUGCAUCUGUUGGAUAUAAUUUUGUAAACAGCCACAGUAUUGUUGCCUUGCCAGCACUCCUGUGUAUCCAAACAGUUUAACAGAACUCUGUUACUGACUGGCAGCUGCCUGCUGAUGGGAAGCCAGGUUUAAUGCCUGAGCCACAGAGAUCACUGAUAUCACUUCUGAUAUCAGAAUAUCAAAGUCUGAUACUCACUUGGUGAUAGAAGACCAGGAUGGACAGGUCUUUCAGCAGCCUGGUCUAGUGGAAGGUGUCCCUGCUCAUGGCAGGGGCUUGGAACAAGAUGAGCUCCAAGGUCUCUUCCAACCCAGCCCACUCUAGGACACUGCAAGGCCACUGUCUGGGUUUAUCCCACCACAGCGCAAGGACUCAGACUAGUUGUCCUUUGUCCAGAAGAGCAUGACCCCCAGGAGGUGAUCCAGGCCUGUGUGGCUGCAUGGAACAGGAGGGCAAUGCUGGUAAUCAGGAGCCUCAAUUACAUGGCACAGCUCCUGGCCUAAAAUGGUCUUUUAAAUGCUCUCUACUUGAGACUCCUUGAUUUACUUUAUUGACUAUUUCUGCCAAGCAUAAGGAAGUAGGUGGCACAACUGAGCACUGUCCUUUACUCUGCCCCCAAGAAACUAUUUCUCAGCAGUAAUCCUGAAUUGUAAAUAAAGCUCUCAAGGGUGGAUUUACCUGAAAGAGGAGGAGGAGGAGGCACUGAGGCGUCAGCACCAUCUGGUCCUGUGCUUGAUGCUGAGGGUGCAGGACACAGCUGCACAGCCCUCCUUCCUCUGCAUCCUCAUUCAGAUCUCAUUUAAAUCUGGCCCUGUGCCCUAAAUGCAACACUUUUAGGUGUGCAGGUUAAUAAAAAACCAUAAGCACAAAUCCAGGGUUUGAUGAUUUCACCUCUUCUUGCGUAUGUGCUUGUGAGAAUAAACCACAUAAACUUGUUUCUAGGAAAAACACUUGAAUGCUUCCCAAGAAAUUGCCACAUCCAGUUGAGUAAGUACUGUCCUCCAGCCUUGGCCCACUUCCUUCUGCUCUAGAGUGCCUGGAAUGGGUUUGUUUGUCCCACUAACUCCUGAUGCUGGCAAGUCCCGUCCAUCCCGUCCCUUGUUCUUGGAGGAACAGCCUUGGCAGCAGCUCCCUCCAUGCCCAAAGGAAAGCAGGACAAGCACCCUGUGGAUCUGCCAGAGGGACUGAGCACCUCUGCAGAGCCACUUAGGUGGGAUGAGCCAGGUCUGAGCUCCGUGUUUGAGUAGCACAGGUUGCUCUGCCCUUCUCUGCUUCCCUCUGGCACUGCUCUGGUUGCCAGGGCAUAGUGGAGCAAUAAUGAAGCAACACCAGAGUUUCUCAUCUUAGGUGAGGUGCACAAAGAUCUAGGUGGUGUAGUUGCUAAGUUUCAGGAGGGUGCUUAGCUAAGACUGCAUUUAGGCUGAGCCUGGAUCUCUGCCCAGGGAACAUUUCCACCUCACCCCGCCGUGGCUGACCAGCAGCUGAAGAGCUUGUGUGUGCUGUGAACAACUCUGGGCCUGGGAUCUCAAGGGAUCUUGUGCUAGGGUUAAAAAGAUUGUAUGUUCAACAAAAAGGCUUAUGGACAUAGUUAAUGUGUGUUUAUUUUAUUGCUGAUCUUGUUGCACUUUCUGAGUAAGCCUCCUAAAAGUAGAUUAUUUAUUAUAUUAAAGAAGAUACAUUAUAGGUUAUGGCAUUUCAUGUUCAAGUAUAACAUAGAAAAUAUUAUCCUCCCUGUUCCAGACAGCUCCACUAACCAUGAUGUGUACAGCAUAUUGAAAUUCCUGACUAGUUCUGUCCUUCUGUCUUAAAAUAGUCCACCCUCCUGAAUCGAGAGCAGACCUGCUUUGUCCCUGUGCCACCAGGGAGCCUCCCGGUGCCCUCCUGGCACAGCUCCUCCUGCUGUGGCGCUGCCCCUGCUCCCAGGCUGGUGCAGAACAGCUCCUUUGUGUAAAUGAUUGUUACUCUGCCUGUCUUUCCUCUUGCUUUGUCUGCAGGCGAGCUGAUGCCGACGGCUCCUCCCGCCCCGACAGCCCUCCACUCUUGCUUGAUCUAUGAUUUGUCCCACCUUGCCGGCCGUUUGCUUUACUGCUGUCUCUUUACUUUUCCAGGACAGGCUAAACGAUGACUUCUUUUUUUAAGAAGCAAACGCUUAAUUUCUUUCUGAUUUUUUUUUUUUUUUGCUCUGUAUGUUAAUGCCCUACUUCAUGUGAGCCAAAACAUCUGCCUUUGGUUUCGUAAUCUGUAAAUGGUUCCUGGUGUUGACCUUUGAGCACAGCGAGUGGAUUCCCGAAACCAUGGUCAUCAAUGAGCAUCACAUACACCUGCUGUAAAAAUGUUAUGCUGCAUUUCUGAACCUGAAAUAAACUGUCAUUCUUGA